UACAUGUUGCGCCGCAGGAAAAAGAAGAAGAAAAAAAGACGCAGUAUACUAAUGACAGCCACCUCCAUGCUGACUGCUUUGAUUUCUGAACAGAGCGAGCCAGCCCGGGUAAAGCCGUAAUUACCUCUCAAGGAUAAACGAUAAUAUCACUUUCCUCAUCACGUCUUUGGGGCGAGACGGUCGACGCUGCACUCUCAUAGGCAAACGAAGCGACUUCUAUAUAAGACGGUUCGUCCGCAACGCUUUCCGGACUGAGCUGGAAUGUCAAGUGAAUGCCACUUGAUUGUUUUCAGGUGGAUUCACUUGACAUUCCAGCUCAGGUUUUUCCGUGCGGGUGUUUGACUGGAAAAGCAGACUAAGAACACUUCACCUGCACGUCAAUGGCAAACAGUUCAUCUUCCUUCUUUUGCUGUAACUACUCCGAAGAGGUUGAAGGGAACAGUUUGAGAUCUUCCUUGACAACAAGGCAAAAAUGUGUGCUAUACAAUGGAGAAGAGGUGGAAAACUUUUUUUUUUUUCAAGUUAAUCCACUCGGGAUUCCAGAUGAAGAUUUUUUUUCUCCGUGAGAGUGUUUGACUGGAAAGACAGACUGUGGUAAGUACAUGGAUUUGCCCUCCUCUUUUGCAAUACAUAUACUAUAUAUAAUGCUUUUCUAUGAACAUGCAAGUCAUUUAUGGAAAUGCAAAUAUGAGGAACGACAAGGUUUCAUGCCUCUCGCUUUCAGUGGCGACAUGCAGGUCUUUGUGAUUUAAGGAAUGCUUUCCUAGCCCAUCACAGGAAGUGAAAACGUUUGCAAACAGUUAAUUUUUUUUUUAUUUAGAUACAAGGACAGUGAGAUCACAGCCCUUUUAGAUAGUGAGAUUCCAUAGCCAGAGUGAUGUCGACCAAUUGUUCUGCCAAGAGAGUAAAUGUUGCCUGGGCAGCGGCGAAGUUUUAACUCACGUUCUAAGCACAAACAGCAUACAUCUGAGCAUUCGUUAUCGUAAUAGGUCCUUGUAAGAUUGGCUGUCUCUAAGCAUUUUUGCAGCUGGCGUGUUUCGUUUCGUGUUAGGGUAACACCAGAACGCUUCGGUUUACCGUUUUCACUCCAAAUGCGUACCACAAGCAAGUCAGAAGGGCACGAAUGUACAUAAACAUAUUUUUCCAGUUCAGCUUCUUUGCUGCAAUUGCCCUGAUGAAGCUGAAGGGAAGAGGAUGGAAGCUUCGUUAGCUCGAUGAUCACCACAACAAGCAAAAACGUGUGCCACACAACGGAGAAGAGAACACACAAACAUCUAUCCAUGUCUGUUCACUCACAAUGAAAUGAGAGGGCUUAGUACAAAUGUACAUUUUUAUUUCCCUGAUACAUGAGCGGUGAUUAUUUUUUUUAUGCUCCAUUGUGCACCAGUCGAUGUUUGAAGAGGUCAAGUGUUAGCUUGCUGAUGUAGCCUGUUAAGUAGUGCCAACCUUCAGACUCGGCUUGUUCCAUGAAACAUAGACUCUCGGCAGCAAGAUGCAUAGCGUCAACCUCGUCAGCAUAUGUCAAAAUUUCGUCCACGUGACGUGACCAUUCAGCAAGUAAGGCAAAAGGUGAUUCCGAGGCAAACGUACAGGCGGUGUGAACUCUGGCAUACAUUGUUUUUGCAGUUUUCCAAGUAACCCUGUCAGGAGGUUGAUCUGGCAGCGCUUGAAACAACACCAUAUCCGUCACAAUUUUAAAAGCUUCCACGAGCGAAGUUUUGCCUACUUGUGUUAACCCACAUUCCAAUAUCUCUUUGUAGGAGACGUGUUUGAGACGACACACAGGCUGCAUCCGAAAUUCGUGUGUGUAACCUCUUCUCCAUCUGCCACACACAUCUCUACCUAGCACAGGCUGCUCUUCAUCUGCGUCUGAUGAUGACAACCAUGCGCCAUCAAGCCGAGGAUCAACCUCAGGCCAUGUUGUGUCAUCGGCGGCUGACUUGUCUUGACUGGUCAUUACAAACCAAGUUCAUUCUAUACAGCAAGAGGAGAAAGCAAAUUGUCAACAUAACAGCGAAGCCUCCAUAACACAAAAAAUGAGCAACAUACCCAAAAACGAAAAGUUCGAAGUGCUGGACAUUCAGAAAAUUGACACUAUGUAUGGCGAGGCCGUAUACGUGGAGCUCCGCAUGGAAAACGACAAGCCAGUGAAAGUGUAUCUACCUGGACGCUUCAAAAAAUUGUCGGAGGAAGAGCUA
Long non-coding RNA from Ornithodoros turicata, 2198 nucleotides. RefSeq lists it as uncharacterized. Lineage: Eukaryota; Metazoa; Arthropoda; Arachnida; Ixodida; Argasidae. The transcript has 5 exons. The record is from RefSeq and is a predicted model, not a curated record.